UGGGGGAAACCCUGAUGCAGCCAUGCCGCGUGUGUGAAGAAGGCCUUCGGGUUGUAAAGCACUUUCAGUAGGGAGGAAGGUAGUGUAGUUAACACCUGCACUAUUUGACGUUACCUACAGAAGAAGCACCGGCUAACUCCGUGCCAGCAGCCGCGGUAAUACGGAGGGUGCGAGCGUUAAUCGGAAUUACUGGGCGUAAAGCGCAUGCAGGCGGCCUGUUAAGUCAGAUGUGAAAGCCCGGGGCUUAACCUCGGAAUUGCAUUUGAAACUGGCAGGCUAGAGUCUUGUAGAGGGGGUAGAAUUUCAGGUGUAGCGGUGAAAUGCGUAGAGAUCUGAAGGAAUACCAGUGGCGAAGGCGGCCCCCUGGACAAAGACUGACGCUCAGAUGCGAAAGCGUGGGGAGCAAACAGGAUUAGAUACCCUGGUAG
Molecule: ribosomal RNA, 428 nt
Filed under: uncultured bacterium
Lineage: Bacteria
Description: bacterial SSU rRNA
Rfam family: Bacterial small subunit ribosomal RNA
Source: RNAcentral